Molecule: long non-coding RNA, 644 nt
Organism: Homo sapiens (human)
Lineage: Eukaryota; Metazoa; Chordata; Mammalia; Primates; Hominidae
Source: Ensembl
CUUCUCAGUGACGCAGGAAGCAAGGUCAUCAGCGGAGAUGAGCAUCGUGGAGGAGACAAUGGUGUGCAGAGAGCUAAAUGUCAGGAAAUUCAUUCCUGGAGAUCUACACGAAGACACGCAUGUCGACAUGCUGCUACCUCUGUAAUAAAUGUGGAGAUGUAAAAUACAGAUCAUAUCGCCGAAUUUUUCACGUCCUCAUCAGCCACCUCAAAGAAUCAAAGAUGAGGAAGUCCUCACUGAAAUCAAGGAUUGCAACUUUCUCUAGAGGCAAUUUCCAUUCUCAUGUUUUUUCUCCCAGACCCAGACUAUUAAAAUUGGAAGAGGAAUAUAGAAUGAAAAAUCAGGCUCAAACCUUUCACAGAUGAAUGUACGACAAGAAUAGAGGUGGAUUGCAGUUUUGCAUUGAUUAUGAACAGCCGUAUCUAUAGACAUAUUGAUGAAUCCCAUGGAGAGAAGCAAUCGAGUUCUGUGAACAUGGUUAUAUGAGUAUUUUUAAGCCUACAAUGUUAUCAAGAGCACAUAAGGUGAAUGGCCUAAGAAAAUGCAGAGUGUGAAUCAUUUCAUUCAACACUAGUUUAAUUUGCAAGUCCAGAUUUGAAUCUAAAUCCAUAGGGAUAAAAAUAAACCUCAACUUAAAUUUUGGA